This 59-nucleotide small RNA is filed under the name Pedobacter alluvionis. RNAcentral's name for it is "Flavo-1 RNA". Lineage: Bacteria; Pseudomonadati; Bacteroidota; Sphingobacteriia; Sphingobacteriales; Sphingobacteriaceae. The record is from RNAcentral.
AACUAAACCUGAUCGAACGAAUGCCAUUUUUCGUGGCAGCAGGUAGAGCAGGGAGAAAU